Molecule: ribosomal RNA, 253 nt
Filed under: uncultured bacterium
Lineage: Bacteria
Description: partial 16S ribosomal RNA
Rfam family: Bacterial small subunit ribosomal RNA
Source: RNAcentral
UACGGAGGGGGCGAGCGUUAUUCGGAAUUAUUGGGCGUAAAGGGCGCGUAGGCGGCUCGAUAAGUCAAAGGUGAAAUCCCUCGGCUCAACUGAGGAAUUGCCUUUGAAACUGUCUGGCUCGAGGCCGGGAGGGGGUAGCGGAAUUCCCAGUGUAGCGGUGAAAUGCGUAGAUAUUGGGAGGAACACCGGUGGCGAAGGCGGCUACCUGGACCGGUUCUGACGCUGAUGCGCGAAAGCGUGGGGAGCAAACAGG